AUGAACGCUGGCGGCGUGCCUAACACAUGCAAGUCGAACGAAACAAUUAAGAUGAAUUUUUCUGAUGGAAUCUUGAUUGACUGAGUGGGAGACGGGUGAGUAACGCCUGGAUAACCUGCCUCAAACUGCGGGAUAACAAUUAAUAAAUGACUGCUAAUACCGCCUAUCCGCACAGUGCCGCAUGGCAAUGAGUGCAAAACUCCGGUGGUGUGAGAUGGAUCCGCGUCUGAUUAGCCAGAUGGCGCCCUAACGGCCCACCAGAACGACGAUCCUUAGACGACCUGACACGGUGACCGGACACAUUGGCACUGAGACACCCUCCAAACUCCUACGGGAGGCAACAUUGGGCAAUAUUGCACAAUGUGAGAAAGCCUGAUGCAGCGACGCCUCACGGCUGAAUAAGUAUUUCGCUAUGUUAAGCUCUAUCAACAGGGAAGAAAAUGACCGGACCUGACUAAAAAACCCCAGCUAACUACGUGCCACCUCCCGCGGGUAAUACGUAGGGGGCAAGCGGUAAUCUGGAUUUACUGCGUGUAAAGGGAGCGUAGACGGAGAAUCAAGGCUCAGGUGAAAACCCAGUGCUCAACCCUGGGACUGCUCCGAAAACUGUUCUGUUAGAGUGUCGGAGAGGUAAGCAGAAUUCCUAGUGUGGCGGUGAAAUGCGUAGAUGUUAGGAGGAACAUCAGUGACGAAGGCGGCUUACGAGACGAUAACUGAUGUUGAGGCUCGAAAGCGUGGGGAGCAAACAGGAUGUAGAUACCAUGGUAGUGCACGCCGUAAACGAUGAACGGUAGGUGAUGGGGGGCAAAGGCCUUCGGUGCCGCCGCAAACGCAGUAAGCAUUCCACAUGGGGAGUACGUUCGCAAGAAUGAAACUCAAAGGAAUUGACGGGGAACCGCACAAGCGGUGGACCAUGUGGUGUAAUUGGAAGCAACGUGAAGAACCUUAGCAAGUCUUGACAUCCGCCUGACGGGCCGGUAACGCGGCCUUUCAUUCGGGACAGGGGAGACAGGUGGUGCAUGGUUGUGGUCAGUUCGUGUCGUGAGAUGUUGGGAUAAGUCGCGCAACGAGCGCAACCGAUUAUCAUUAGUAGUCAGCACGUGAAGGCUGGGCACUCUAGGGAGAUUGCCAGGGAUAACCGGGAGGAAGGUGGGGAAGACGUCAAAUCAUCAUGCUCAUUAUGAUCUGGGCUUCACACGUGUUACAAUGGCGUACAACAAAGGGAAGAGAGGCAGUGAUGUGGAGCAAAUGCCAAAAAUAACGUAACAGUUUGGAAUGUAGUAUGCAAGUCGGCUACACGAAGUUGGAAUCGCUAGUAAUCGAGAAUCAGAACGUCACGGUGAAUACGUUGCCGGGUUUUGUACACACCGCCCGUCACACCAUGGGAGUCAGCAAAGCCGGAAGUCAGUGACCCAACCGAAAGGAGGGAGCUUCCGAAGGCGGGG
Molecule: ribosomal RNA, 1445 nt
Filed under: uncultured organism
Description: 16S ribosomal RNA
Rfam family: Bacterial small subunit ribosomal RNA
Source: RNAcentral